GACGAACGCUGGCGGCGUGCUUAACACAUGCAAGUCGAACGGAAAGGCCCUGCUUUUGUGGGGUGCUCGAGUGGCGAACGGGUGAGUAACACGUGAGUAACCUGCCCUUGACUUUGGGAUAACUUCAGGAAACUGGGGCUAAUACCGGAUAGGAGCUCCUGCUGCAUGGUGGGGGUUGGAAAGUUUCGGCGGUUGGGGAUGGACUCGCGGCUUAUCAGCUUGUUGGUGGGGUAGUGGCUUACCAAGGCUUUGACGGGUAGCCGGCCUGAGAGGGUGACCGGCCACAUUGGGACUGAGAUACGGCCCAGACUCCUACGGGAGGCAGAAGUGGGGAAUAUUGCACAAUGGGCGGAAGCCUGAUGCAGCAACGCCGCGUGCGGGAUGACGGCCUUUGGGUUGUAAACCGCUUUCGCCUGUGACGAAGCGUGAGUGACGGUAAUGGGUAAAGAAGCACCGGCUAACUACGUG
RNAcentral lists this ribosomal RNA (468 nucleotides) under uncultured bacterium. Its description in RNAcentral is "partial 16S ribosomal RNA". It matches the Rfam family "Bacterial small subunit ribosomal RNA", at positions 28 to 507 of the family's 1533-position model. The record is from RNAcentral.